GUUUGAAGCAAAUUAUGCAGUUUUUAAUGCAAUGUAGGUACAAAGAAGAUACACUCUCGUAUGGGAGGAGAACAUAACUCGAGAUUAUAUUCACAUAAAUAUAAUUGCGAUUAGUGCAACAUUUUUGACGCACGCACUGCUCUGAAACAUUUCGAUUGGACUCCAAACCUAUGAUACUAGUUUCAGUUGUAUCUUGGUACUGAACAACGAUAAUCUUUCGGGGCAUUGAGAAUUUGUACAUUAUUAUCUUCCAGUUUAUGUAAAAAAACUAAAUUAAAGCACUUAUAUUCGGGCAAAGGUCAAUUAAAUGUGCCUUAAUCGGACAGAUACGCUUGACACUCUGUUUCUUAAUCGAAACUGCACGCGUCCGCUUAGAUAUUUAUCAUCACUUAUCGCGUCAAUUGAAGUUCAACUUUAAAAGUUCAAAUUACACAGUUUGAAGAAUAGACCUACCCACAUUACCCUGUAUAACGUUGUAUACAUUACAGCUAAUUUUUACAUCUACCAUGUUCGUUACCUGUUUUAAUAACGGCGACUUUAAUCGGGAAGAAUUGCAAAUUUUUCGGUGCGCAUUGAACUCAUAAUCGUGUUUUAAUAGAAUGCACUGCUGAACUAAGAAGAUCUGAGAAAACCAUGCUCAAAAAAUGUGAAUGCUAUCUAGUCAAGUAGAGGGGUUAUCAGUGUAGAUGAACGUCUGUACGAGAAGCUGUCUGUAUAAUUUGUGAUGCCUGACCUGGAUUCGUUUCCCUUCUUUGGUAUGACGGUCAAUGCUGCAGGAACGUACACAACGGCAGCUACUAAUGCCAAGGAAAAGUUGUGCAUUGAAAUGCAUAAAAGCAUUGUUGCCAAUUCUAUUAAUGCUAUCACAUAAAGUAAGGACGCAGUUUCGUAGGU
Long non-coding RNA from Neodiprion virginianus, 894 nucleotides. RefSeq lists it as uncharacterized. NCBI's taxonomy places the organism in Eukaryota, Metazoa, Arthropoda, Insecta, Hymenoptera, Diprionidae. The record is from RefSeq and is a predicted model, not a curated record. The transcript has 3 exons.